This 1833-nucleotide ribosomal RNA is filed under the name Triticum aestivum (bread wheat). Its description in RNAcentral is "partial small subunit ribosomal RNA". Lineage: Eukaryota; Viridiplantae; Streptophyta; Magnoliopsida; Poales; Poaceae. The record is from RNAcentral.
AUGGUGGCCGAGUCAAGCGGGAGCGAGAGGAGCGAGAGGAGGGCGGCGAGCGAGGCCGGGAGAAACCCAGCAGAGGAGGAGCUGGAGGCGGCAGCACCCGACAUGGCGGCGGCGGCGCGAUCUGGUGGCGGCGGCGGCGCGAUGGAGGGGGCGGCGGCGGGGUUAGGGUUUUGCAGAAGCAUGAGUCGGAUGGGAAGAACAUGUGUGUUUGUUCAUCAUGGGGACAAAGACGCCUUUUUGAAAGGCAAUAAAGAACCGGACCCGGAUGAGCUUGACAUGGUGUUUGAUAGUAGUCCUAGCUAUGCGGAGCUCUUGCAACAAGUUAGGAAAGAUUUGAAUUGGAUGGACCCUAGUGAUAUCAUUGAGUUGGAGGGAAGGCAUAAUGUUGGUUUUGGAAUGCACAUCCGUUGGAAGACAAUGCGUGUCAACUCGGAGCAACGUUGGGUUGCAUACAAGGAGACGGUGGCAGAAUCACUAGACAAGGCUCUUGAGUUAUUUGCAACGAAGAAGGUUGAUUCAAGUUUGCAUUUGGACUUGAACCGGAACCCCUCCCCUUUGGUUGCUAGUAGCCCCCCACCCUUGAAGCGAGAUGAAAUUGUUGAACCUCUUUUGACCCAAGAAGUGAGGCCAACAUUGAGUCCGUAUAUAAACAACCAAGAUGAAUCUUUGCAAGAGGACAAUGAUGAGUAUGCGGACGAUGACAAUGAAGUUGAUCUCCAUGACAACAAUGUGGGUGAUCUCGACAAAUAUCAUUUGCAAGAGACAAUGGACCAUUCCAUCCCUUUUUCCCGUGCAUAUGCAUCGGACUCGGAUGACGAUGGUCCCGAUGAACAAAGGGGUUCACGGCCAAGCUCUCACCGUGAUUUGGUAGACGACGAGAACCGGAUUGCUAAAGGUUCUAAGUUCGACAGCUUGUUGGAAUUGAAGAUGUGGCUCGACAACUACUCGGUUACGCAUUAUCGUCCACACAAGGUGGUGAACUCGGACGUCAAUGUGCGCUACACGGUUGCAUGUGCAUGUGAAGAUGAAAAGGAGGUCCAACUUGGACUUACAAGAGGCCGUGGUGGUGGUAGAGCUCGUGGAAAGGAGGUCCAACUUGGACUUACAAGAGGUCGUGGCGGUUGUCCGUGGAUCGUGCGUGCAAGACCAUGGAAAGGAGGUCCAACUUGGCAUGUAGUGAGUUGUGUGCCAACUCACAUGUGCCAAGGCAAAAGGGUGGAUGGCAAGAUUGUGUCCCAAGACCACAAACAACUCACGUCCGAGUUCAUCGCUUACAGGCUCUCCAACUCAAUAUCCACACUUCCAACAAUGAGCGUCCAACAUGUCAUUGACCUUGUGAAAGCCAUCUUUCAUUACAAGGUGAAAUACGGCAAGGCAUGGAAGGCGAAGCAAGCCGCAUUUAAGAUGUUGUAUGGUAUGGCGGCUUCCCAACCCAACAAACCAACGAUGAAGGAGGAUGGCGAAGAUGAGAUGGCGGGAUGGUGGGAGAAGGCUGCGAAGAAGCUUAGAGAGGAGGAUGCAGCCAAGCUAAAGAAGAAGAAGGAAGAGGAGCUUGAGAAGGAGAGGAAGCGAAAACAGACUGCGGCAAAUGCGAUGCGCGCUAGGGAGCAAGCGUUGAUGACGAAAGUUGAGGAGGCACAGAAGAAGCGUCAACAGGAUUUUGAAGAAAGAACCAUGAAGCUUUGGGCAAUUGCAGCUGAAAAAGAAGAGAGGGACAAUCAGAUAUUCAUGGAGAGGGUGGUUAAGGAGGCUCACCUCAUAAGAAAAAGGGAGGAGGAAGAGGAAGAAGAGAGGAAGAAGAAGAAGGGAAAGGGGCCUUGCUCUACGCAAUAG